This 754-nucleotide long non-coding RNA is filed under the name Fragaria vesca (wild strawberry). RNAcentral describes it as "long non-coding RNA (FVES_LNC005133)". The record is from RNAcentral. Lineage: Eukaryota; Viridiplantae; Streptophyta; Magnoliopsida; Rosales; Rosaceae.
GGCUAUAGUCUGGGAAAAUUUUUUUAUUACAAACUUUUAGCCGACGAAUAUCUUAAUUGUUUCGUCGGCUAAAGUCUGGGAAAAAAACCGACGACAUGUUUUUCGUCGGCUAAACUGCGGGACUAUAGCCGACGAAAUUUUUUUUGUCGUCGGCUAAAGUCAUCACAGACGACCUUUUCCCGAUGAAAUCUUAGCCAACGCUGGCUCGUUGGCUAAGUUAGCCGACGAAAAAUUUUCGUCGGCUAAAGUGCUUGUCCUGGUAGUGAAACUCUCUAUAUUGACUCCUUGAGCAUCUCCAGUAGUGGUGUUAAAAGUGAAAUAUGUCAAUUUUUAGGGUAAAUUGAUGCUCUAACAGAAUACAUAAAUUAUUGCUAAAUUUGAUAAUUGUUAAAUGAAAUUGACAAAUUUGUCAAUGAUCCAUGCAUAAUUAAAGCAAUAGCUAAAUCUUAUUUCCUCUCUUGCCCACGUGUCACUUUACAAUUUGUUAUGACAUAAUAUAUAAUAAUGACUGAUAGAGCAAUAUUAUUAAAUCGAUACCUAAAUUUCAAAAUUCUUGCUAAAAAUAUCAAUUUAUGAAUCUUAUUGCUGGAGAUGCGCUAUUUUAAUUAGAGAAAGAGUUUAGUUUUUGUUUUUGUUUUUUGUUUUUUUUAUCAAUUUUAAUAGCUCCAGCAUACUAUUUUGUGGCUAACUAUUUUAACUUUUAACUGAGCAUCUUCAGUAGUCUAGGUUAGUUUAUUGCUAAAUUUAACAAUAG